GAUGAAUAACGCAGCGAAAUGCGAUAAGUAGUGUGAAUUGCAGAAUUCAGUGAAUCAUCGAAUCUUUGAACGCACAUUGCGCCCCUUGGUAUUCCAUGGGGCAUGCCUGUUCGAGCGUCAUUGCUGCCUUCAAGCACGGCUUGUGUGUUGGGCCUCCGUCCUCCUCCCGGGGGACGGGCCCGAAAGGCAGCGGCGGCACCGCGUCCGGUCCUCGAGCGUAUGGGGCUUCGUCACCCGCUCUUGUAGGCCCGGCCGGCGCUUGCCGACACAUCAAUCUUUUUUCCAGGUUGACCUCGGAUCAGGUAGGGAUACCCGCUGAACUUAAGCAUAUCAAUAAGCGGAGGA
This 345-nucleotide unclassified non-coding RNA is filed under the name soil metagenome. RNAcentral describes it as "partial contains 5.8S ribosomal RNA, internal transcribed spacer 2, and large subunit ribosomal RNA". The stretch from base 1 to 120 matches the Rfam family "5.8S ribosomal RNA", at positions 35 to 154 of the family's 154-position model. The record is from RNAcentral.